AUGGAGUUUGUGCUUGGCUGGGUGUUCCUGGUUGCUCUUUUAAAAGGUGUCGAGUGUGACGUGCAGCUGGUGGAGUCUGGGGGAGACCUGGUGAAGCCUGGGGGUCCCUGAGACUCACCUGUGUGGCCUCUGGAUUCACCUUCAGUAGCUACUACAUGCACUGGGUCCGCCAGGCUCCAGGGAAGGGCCUGCAGUGGGUCGCAUAUAUUUAUACUGAUGGAAGUAGCACAUUCUACGCAGACUCCGUGAAGGGCCGAUUCACCAUCUCCAGAGACAACGCCAAGAACACGCUGUAUCUGCAGAUGAACAACCUGCAGGCCGAGGACAAGGCCACAUAUUACUGUGCAAGACACAGGCGCAUGUGCAUUCGCACCUACAAGCACCGCAACAAUCCACCCCAGGAGCCUAAAAGCGCCAUCUAG
Molecule: non-coding RNA, 422 nt
Organism: Neofelis nebulosa (Clouded leopard)
Lineage: Eukaryota; Metazoa; Chordata; Mammalia; Carnivora; Felidae
Source: the annotation of a RefSeq genome assembly